This 503-nucleotide ribosomal RNA is filed under the name uncultured bacterium. RNAcentral describes it as "bacterial SSU rRNA". It matches the Rfam family "Bacterial small subunit ribosomal RNA", at positions 8 to 502 of the family's 1533-position model. The record is from RNAcentral.
AGAGUUUGAUCCUGGCUCAGAUUGAACGCUGGCGGUAUGCUUAACAUAUGCAAGUCGAACGGUAACAGCAGAAGCUUGCUUCUGGCUGACGAGUGGCGGACGGGUGAGUAACGCGUGGGAAUCUGCCUUAUAGUGGGGGAUAGCCCGGAGAAAUCCGGAUUAAUACCGCAUAAGCCCUAAGGGGGAAAGUUGGGGAUCUUCGGACCUGACGCUAUUGGAUGAGCCCGCGUUAGAUUAGCUUGUUGGUGGGGUAAUGGCCUACCAAGGCAACGAUCUAUAGCUGGUCUGAGAGGACGAUCAGCCACACUGGGACUGAGACACGGCCCAGACUCCUACGGGAGGCAGCAGUGGGGAAUAUUGCACAAUGGGCGCAAGCCUGAUGCAGCAAUAACCGCGUGUGUGAAGAAGGCCUGAGGGUUGUAAAGCACUUUCAAUUGUGAAGAAAAGCUUUUGGUUAAUAACCUUGAGUCUUGACAUUAGCAAUACAAGAAGCACCGCUAACU